CUUCCGAUAGCUCAAUGGUGGAGCGCCGGUGUACUUUAUUCGAGUCAUGAGACAUGAUGCCGGAGACGUUGGUUCGAGUCUAAUUCGGAGGA
Non-coding RNA from Stereum hirsutum FP-91666 SS1, 92 nucleotides. The record is from the annotation of a RefSeq genome assembly. Lineage: Eukaryota; Fungi; Basidiomycota; Agaricomycetes; Russulales; Stereaceae.